UACGUAGGGGGCAAGCGUUGUCCGGAAUCAUUGGGCGUAAAGCGCGUGUAGGCGGUCCGAUCAGUCGGCUGUGAAAGUCCAGGGCUCAACCCUGGGAUGCCGGUCGAUACUGUCGGGCUAGAGUCCGGAAGAGGCGAGUGGAAUUCCCGGUGUAGCGGUGAAAUGCGCAGAUAUCGGGAGGAACAUCCGUGGCGAAGGCGACUACCUGGACCAGCACUGACACUGAGGCACGAAAGCGUGGGGAGCAAACAGG
This 253-nucleotide ribosomal RNA is filed under the name uncultured bacterium. RNAcentral's name for it is "partial 16S ribosomal RNA". It matches the Rfam family "Bacterial small subunit ribosomal RNA", at positions 524 to 776 of the family's 1533-position model. The record is from RNAcentral.